GCAGUCGACGAUGAAGCCGGAGCUUGCUCUGGUGGAUUAGUGGCGAACGGGUGAGUAACACGUGAGUAACCUACCCUUGACUCUGGGAUAAGCCCGGGAAACUGGGUCUAAUACCGGAUAUGAGUCAUCACCGCAUGGUGGUGGUUUGAAAGAUUUAUCGGUCUUGGAUGGACUCGCGGCCUAUCAGCUUGUUGGUGAGGUAAUGGCUCACCAAGGCGACGACGGGUAGCCGGCCUGAGAGGGUGACCGGCCACACUGGGACUGAGACACGGCCCAGACUCCUACGGGAGGCAGCAGUGGGGAAUAUUGCACAAUGGGCGGAAGCCUGAUGCAGCGACGCCGCGUGAGGGAUGACGGCCUUCGGGUUGUAAACCUCUUUCAGUAGGGAAGAAGCGAAAGUGACGGUACCUGCAGAAGAAGCACCGGCUAACUACGUGCCAGCAGCCGCGGUAAUACGUAGGGUGCGAGCGUUAUCCGGAAUUAUUGGGCGUAAAGAGCUCGUAGGCGGUUUGUCGCGUCUGUCGUGAAAGUCCGGGGCUUAACCCCGGAUCUGCGGUGGGUACGGGCAGACUAGAGUGCAGUAGGGGAGACUGGAAUUCCUGGUGUAGCGGUGGAAUGCGCAGAUAUCAGGAGGAACACCGAUGGCGAAGGCAGGUCUCUGGGCUGUAACUGACGCUGAGGAGCGAAAGCAUGGGGAGCGAACAGGAUUAGAUACCCUGGUAGUCCAUGCCGUAAACGUUGGGCACUAGGUGUGGGGAACAUUCCACGUUUUCCGCGCCGUAGCUAACGCAUUAAGU
This 797-nucleotide ribosomal RNA is filed under the name bacterium LFT19. RNAcentral's name for it is "bacterial SSU rRNA". It matches the Rfam family "Bacterial small subunit ribosomal RNA", at positions 57 to 865 of the family's 1533-position model. The record is from RNAcentral.